Molecule: ribosomal RNA, 411 nt
Filed under: uncultured Enterobacteriaceae bacterium
Lineage: Bacteria; Pseudomonadati; Pseudomonadota; Gammaproteobacteria; Enterobacterales; Enterobacteriaceae
Description: bacterial SSU rRNA
Rfam family: Bacterial small subunit ribosomal RNA
Source: RNAcentral
AAGCUUGUUCUUUGCUGACGAGUGGCGGACGGGUGAUAAUGUCUGGGAAACUGCCUGAUGGAGGGGGAUAACUACUGGAAACGGUAGCUAAUACCGCAUAACGUCGCAAGACCAAAGAGGGGGACCUUCGGGCCUCUUGCCAUCGGAUGUGCCCAGAUGGGAUUAGCUAGUAGGUGGGGUAACGGCUCACCUAGGCGACGAUCCCUAGCUGGUCUGAGAGGAUGACCAGCCACACUGGAACUGAGACACGGUCCAACUCCUACGGGAGGCAGCAGUGGGGAAUAUUGCACAAUGGGCGCAAGCCUGAUGCACCAUGCCGCGUGUAUGAAGAAGCCUUCGGGUUGUAAAGUACUUUCACGGGGAGGAAGGGAGUAAAGUUAAUACCUUUGCUCCGAGUUACCAGAAAAAGCA